GCUCCACGUUGUCAGCACGGAGCCCGACACGGGUUUUGAACCCACAAGCCACGGGCUCAUGACCUGAGCCGAAAUCAAGACUCGGAUGCCUAACCGACUGAGCCACCUGGGUGCCCCUGGACGUGUGGCUUUUAAAACAGUGGCAGAUAUCAUGGCAACGGAGAAAAGAGAACCCUGGUGAAACCACGAGUUGGCUUUUCGAAGAGAGUGGCUGACGCGAGCCUCUCGUGUCUUCUUCUUAGAAUUAAAAGGCGCCACGGAUGGUUCCUGAAAUCCUUCUCCAGAGUGAAUGCCAUACCUUUCUGCAGCCCACGGGGGCUCUGGUCUGUGUGCUGUGCAUGAGAAAAUUUAUCACUUAACUGCUUCUUGUCCUUCAACUUUGUCUGACCGCCAGCCCAGAGCCGGAGAACUCAGUCAAUGAAAACAGAGCCAAACAAGGGAAGAAGUAAAUCAGCGCUGAGCUCUCUGAGGGUCCCCCAGGGGGGAGAGUCGGGUCUCUAGGCCACUCCCUGGCCAGCCGGGGAGGGGAGCGGCCCCCAUGCAGGUCCCUCCCAGGACCGGGCAGUUGCUGAGAUGUGACCCUCCCCGUGCUGUCCUCUGCUGGCUGAGCUCCCAGGGCUGUGGAUUCCUGGCCUCGGCCUCGGCUCUCAAGACAAGGCAAGCCCCCUCCUCUGUGCUGCCGCUUCCCCAGCCGCCAUCCCGCCUUGUACCGGCUUUCUCCGGAUCGGACCCACGGCCCCAGAUCCCCCCAGCUCCUUGCUCUGCAGUGUCUGAGCCCCCGAGAGAGCUGAGACAAUGAAGUCAGAGAAGAGCUCAACUGGCCAGCUUCCUUGAACAGUUUCAGGGGACAGUUGCUGGCUGUCACCAUGACACCUGUUUCCCCCCUCGCCUUUCUGACGUCCCCGAGUUUCAGUUUGGGAAUGCCUAUGGCCUUAGCGGGGGCUGGCUCUGCGCUUGACUUCGGGUCCGGGCAAAGUGGUGGCGGUGGAAUCAGCUGGGGACCAGUCAGCUGAAGGGCUUACCAGAAGUGCUGGACAAAGUCUCUGCCUCUCUUCCCUUCUCUGGGCGCGAUCCGUGAAACGUGGGGCUCCCGCGGCUGCUGGCCAGAAUUUGGGGAUCACAGUAGAAGCCGUUUUAGGUUGGCUUAGCAGCGUGAAGACAGAGCUAAACCCCAAAGGAAGCGGCUCUCGGUGAACUGAAACCCUCAGCAUUUUCUUAGUCCUGAAACUUAAGCUUGCAAGCUCCUGGACCGUUGAGAAGUAUUCCCCUUCUCCAGAAUUGUCGUGGGCAUCAUUGCCGUGAGGCUGGCCCUCCUGUCUCCGCUGCUGGCCUUGGAGAAGGAGACUGCCGUGAAUCCUACAGCCGCAGGAGCACCCCCAACGAAGCCUCUGACGGGAACCCAACCCCGGUGGGCACCCCUGUUACCGCCUCUCUGAUCUCAGACAAGGACCCAGCUCAGAACGCCUGGACUUCUGGCCCAGAGACACUGGGAGGAAAGAGAUCGUGUAACUGAAACACAGACCAAGGAAAUGAACAGAGAAGAGGAAAACCAAGAUGUUCGACAAUAUCUGGGAAGAAACGCAGCCUUACCAAUAACCAACGAAACACAAGGUCUCCAGUUAAAGAUAAUUUAAAAAGGAGAAACCACUGCUGAAGAAACAGAACGCAAGAGAAGAAAGCAUGGAUUAGCCAACUCAGGUAGCCACAUAAGCACAGACAUACUUACCUUCCUCGUUUCUGAUUCUUAUGAACACAGUACCGUAGACCUUUCAUGAUACUUCCAAAGUAAUAGACCAUCUGUGCUGACUUAGGGGACAGCAGGCCAGGUUCUGGGGGACUGCCCAGCAUGCAGCCUUUGUCAGUAUUUUAGGUAUCUCUCUUUCACGUUAACAAGCAGCGGUGUUUUCUUCGUGGAAUUAAACUCCGCGAAAAUCUCUUUGCAAGCAGAUUUGUGUCUUGAUGACAGUCUGUGGAUGACUUGGGCUGAGGCACGCCGAUGGAGUGUGUGGAUCUCCGGGGAAACUUCCAGCAGAUACGCAUCAGUGCAGCCACAUUCUUCCAGCCUUUACAGCCGUCAGGGCGGUGUCUGACCGUCCUGACAGCCGCCUGCCUCCAGCCGAAGGCGCACGGCGCCUGCGUGUGCCUUUCGCAGCAGUUCAUGGGUUACGAUCACACUCCCGCCUGCCUCAGUUUCUCUGGUGGGUUCCCGAAGACACAGGAACUUUACCUCUUCUUGUAAAAAUUUUUUAAAUAGUUUUUUUAAGUUUAUUUAUUUUGAAAAGAGAGUGCAAGCAGGGUAGAGGCUGAGAGAGAGAGAAGAGAGAGAAUCCCAGGCAGGCUCUGAGCUGUCUGCCCAGAGACCUGAGCCCAAGGCGGAUGCUUUACCGACUGAGCCACCCAGGCGCCCCAGGAAGUUUGCUUCUGAGGGAUGCGGGGCUUAUUCUGUUCGCCCUCCUUUCUCCAAAGAUCCUUCCUGGCUUUGUCCAAGGGGGAUCAUAAUGGGCAGAAGAAGGAAGCAGUAUAACCUAUGGUGGAGAACACAGCAUUUGGAGUUAGAACUCCAUCUAAAUCCUGGUGCUACUCUUUACAAGUACUGUGUAACCUGCGCAUCUGUUUCUGUGUCAAAUGGGGCAACACUAUUUUAAUAGGAGAGUGUUUUCAUAAUAAUAGAACUAGUAGGACGUGUAUAUGAAUACACACACACACACACACACACACACACAAUGGGGUUAUUAUAAGGAAUUGGAUCACAUAAUUAUGGAAGCUGACAAGUCCCAAGAUCUGCAGGAUGAGUUAGCAGCUAGAGACCCAGAAAAGCCAAUGGUUUGGAUCUAGUCCAAAGGCCUGCUGGCUCAAGACCUGGGAAGAGGUGAUGUUUCAGUUCAAAUGUGAAAACGACAAAGGGCUGAUGUCUCAAUUUAAACGCGGUUAGGAGGGAAGAACUCCCUGUUCCUUGGGAGUGGGUCAGCUUUUUUGAUCUAUUCAUGCCUUCUACUGAUUAGACAAGGCCCAUCCACACUGGGGAGGGAGAUCUACUUUACUCUGUCCUACUGAUUUGAAUGUUAAACUCAUCCAAAACACUCUCACGGCCACACCCAGAAUAAUGUUUGGCCACAUAUCUGGGCACACCGUGGUCCAGUCAAGUUAAUAUGUAAAAUGAGACAUCAUAGAGACUUUUGAGAAUCAGAAGUUAAUGUUUGGGAAAUGCUUUGGUACAGGGACAUGGAAUAUGGGAUUUGGGAAGUUCUUAAAUGAUUAUUUAAAUUAGAAAACGUUUUAUUUAUUGAAUCAUUUGAUCCCCAUAACAACCCAAGGAGGGGGAAGGGGAGAGGUAUUCACCUCCUUUUAUUUAAAAAAAAUUUUUUUUUCAAUGUUUACUUAUUUUGGGGACAGAGAGAGACAGAGCAUGA
Long non-coding RNA from Felis catus (domestic cat), 3410 nucleotides. RefSeq lists it as uncharacterized. The transcript has 5 exons. NCBI's taxonomy places the organism in Eukaryota, Metazoa, Chordata, Mammalia, Carnivora, Felidae. The record is from RefSeq and is a predicted model, not a curated record.